CGUGCCAUUAGCUAGUUGGGGGGGUAACGGCCCACCAAGGCGACGAUGGCUAGGGGAGCUGAGAGGCUGAUCCCCCACACUGGUACUGAGACACGGACCAGACUCCUACGGGAGGCAGCAGUGGGGAAUUUUCCGCAAUGGGCGAAAGCCUGACGGAGCAAUACCGCGUGAGGGAAGAAGGCUCUUGGGUUGUAAACCUCUUUUCUUAGGGAAGAAAAAAAUGACGGUACCUAAGGAAUAAGCAUCGGCUAACUCCGUGCCAGCAGCCGCGGUAAUACGGAGGAUGCAAGCGUUAUCCGGAAUGAUUGGGCGUAAAGCGUCCGCAGGUGGUUUAUCAAGUUUGCGGUUAAAGGUUCUGGCUCAACCAGAGACAAGCCGUGAAAAC
RNAcentral lists this ribosomal RNA (385 nucleotides) under uncultured bacterium. RNAcentral describes it as "bacterial SSU rRNA". It matches the Rfam family "Bacterial small subunit ribosomal RNA", at positions 234 to 633 of the family's 1533-position model. The record is from RNAcentral.